ACUCACUGAUUAUGUAGUAAAACUCCAGAUAAGGGAAGUGGUUGAGGUAUCUUGGAGGAAGCCAAGUGAUGCUUGUUGAUGAGACAGUCUGCCAUGCUAGGAUUAAAUGAGAGAUGCUGCCUGGAUUGUAUUUUCUUUUGGAACUUGUCAAGACCAUAUGGUUCCCAAAUCCCCUUGAGGCCUAAGCAUGCUACAAGCUCAGGACUGAAAAAGAGUUGUGAGGAAAGCACUUCACGAUAUCUUCCUUCUUUCCAUCUAUUAUUUAUCAUUUCAAGGACACCAACAAGUUACUUCUCUUCUCUGUGAUGGUCAAUGCAUGUAUCAGUGAUCAACUACCAGAGAUGACCAAACCUGAGUGGAUCUGCACCAUAUUAAAAUAUAAUUCUGAAAUACUUGACAAAUUAAAUAAAAAUAUACUACAACACAAAUAA
Long non-coding RNA from Monodelphis domestica (gray short-tailed opossum), 431 nucleotides. RefSeq lists it as uncharacterized. Lineage: Eukaryota; Metazoa; Chordata; Mammalia; Didelphimorphia; Didelphidae. The record is from RefSeq and is a predicted model, not a curated record.